GCCGUGGUGGUGAAAUUGGUAGACACGCCAGCUUGAGGGGCUGGUGUCUGAAAGGACGUGCGGGUUCAAGUCCCGCCCACGGCACCA
Molecule: transfer RNA, 87 nt
Filed under: Moritella yayanosii
Lineage: Bacteria; Pseudomonadati; Pseudomonadota; Gammaproteobacteria; Alteromonadales; Moritellaceae
Description: tRNA-Leu
Rfam family: tRNA
About the family: Transfer RNA (tRNA) molecules are approximately 80 nucleotides in length. Their secondary structure includes four short double-helical elements and three loops (D, anti-codon, and T loops).
Source: RNAcentral